Molecule: long non-coding RNA, 3432 nt
Organism: Brassica napus (rape)
Lineage: Eukaryota; Viridiplantae; Streptophyta; Magnoliopsida; Brassicales; Brassicaceae
Exons: 4
Source: RefSeq, a predicted model, not a curated record
UCACCGAUGGUAUUUAUCCGAAAUGGGCAAUUUUUAUCCAAUCUAUUUCGCUACCACAAGGACCGAAAGCAGUUUUAUUUGCUCAAAACCAGGAAGCUGUCCGAAAAGAUGUCGAGCGUGCUUUUGGAGUCUUGCAAGCUCGGUUUGCCAUCGUUAAAAAUCCAGCACUUUUUUGGGAUAAAGUCAAAAUUGGGAAGAUUAUGAGAGCAUGUAUCAUACUCCAUAAUAUGAUAGUUGAAAACGAACGAGGUGGAUACACGCAAUUUAGUCUUUCCGAGUUCCAACAUGCAGAAGACAACGGAAGUUCACAUGUGGAUCUCAACUAUUCAACAGAUAUCCCUUCAAAUAUCGCUAAUAUGAUGGGUGUUCGAACUAGAAUUCGUGAUAGAAGAAUGCAUGAACAACUGAAAGCUGAUUUGGUUGAACAUUUGUGGAGUAAAUUCGGAGGUGAUGAGGCCAACAAUUGAGCUCGAAUGUUUCUUUCAAAUUAUUGUCGAUUAUUGUACUAAUCUUUGUUUUAUGUUUUUAUUUUGAAAUAUGUGUUCUAAAUGUUAUGAUUAAAUAUGUUUUAUAUAAUAAAUAUAUUUAAGCUUAUAAAAAACAAUGUUUAGUAUAAUUUUUUUAAGCACCCCAAAAUAAGCAACUUCCAUUGGAGGUCAAAAUAUUAGAAGUUGCUUAAAAAAGUGUCUAACACCCAUUUAAUACUAAAAAAAAUGUUUAAGCACCCCAAUAGAGUUGUUAUGGUUAAAGAUGCUCUAAAGCUCACAACAAGACACAAUGUGUCGUGUAUAAACUUUUAGUUUUGGUGCCUUCCUCUUUCCCUCUUUUUUUAAAAAAAAUCAAACAUAACCAAAACUUUUAGUUUUAUAUUAGAUACUGAUAGAAAUCCCUCCCGGGAACCGGCACUCGAAGAUUGGUGAUGGAUAGGCUUUGAUCGAAAACUCGAGCAAAGGAAGGUAGAAUGGAUUAUGGAGUCGAAGAUGAUGAGAUGGUCUUCAGAGACUGAUUUGUGGAAAGAUCAAUCCAUUGUGUAGAAGUGCCCUUGAUCAAGAGAAUGAACUAUGUUUUCCGAUCAAGGGCGAAUUGCUUACAGAGAAUAAACUCCUAGCAUUAUGAUGUUCCAAAGAACAAAUGAUUCAACAAAUUUAAAAGUAAAUUUUAUUAAAAAGUUGAAUGAUUAUUACAAAGCUUGCAUAUGUUUUUAUAUGAUAGGCAAUGUGGUAGACAAAAGGUUUAGUCAAAACCUAGAAACUUGAAAACUCAUAAAUAUAAAAGACUUGACCAGAAUAAUAGAUGUCUUUGACUUAACCAAAAGUUUAACGGUUUUUGCUGAUUGAUUCUUCGGCUGGCCGCGUCCUUUUCGCAUGGUUGAUCUGUAUUGCCGUGAAACUAAUAUAUUAUACAACUAUGACUUGUAUUUUUUUGUUGGGCUUUUUUUUGGGGCUGAAACAUGUUCAUAAACAUAUUUUUAUAAAUCAUCAAGCUCAUCUUGUGUAAACUCAAGCCCAUAAGCCAAACUCUCAAUUGAUAUGUUUGUUGAUGAAUAUGAUUGCAUCAGAUAUCACAAUCACAAGAGAAACUGCUUUAAAGUAAAAACCUGAGAAAUGUUUUCUAAUGGAUUCCUCUAAGUUAUGAAAAAUCCAAGUUUUCAGAAAUUAUUUCUCAGUUUUGAUAACGAAUAGUAGUCAUUGACUAUUAGUUCUCUUUUUGUCUGUCUUCUAGAUUUGUUCAUAUAGUUGCAUGAGUUUUUUCAGUGAUAACUAGCAUCUGUUUUUGUUUAUGGUUUUUGAUUUCUAAAAUAUUUUAGGAAAAAUUAGAAAAAUGAGACACUCUCAUCUUAGAUUUGUCCCAAUAAGACUUGUAGAAGAUUAUUUAGGUAAAUAAGAUUUAUAUUCUCUUUAAUACCAUUAUACCCUUAUAAUUAACCACAUUAACCUUAAUUAAAAUUAAUUCGUAAUUGAUUUAAGUUUUAAUUAAAAAAAAACACAAAAGGAUUAAAAACUUGUUUACCCUAAUAUUUUUUUCAAUUCUCUUCUUCUCUGUUGUGUACCUUCAAGCCUUCAACCCCUUUUAAUGGCAAUUUAGGAUACAAAUCAGCGAAUUGGAGAUUUGUUCUUGAAUUUGUCGGACGGUCCUCUUCUCUCUUUACGGUUUCGUCGGACGAUCAGGCCUGACAUCGGAAGGAUCGAGAAAUGGGUGUUACACACUGCUUUUUAUGAUGAGAAGAAUCCUUAUCUACCGAAGAGCGCUGCUAGAGCUACUGUGCCAGGAGGUCCAAGUGUACCAUGUAGUACAGCGAAAGCUGUGGAAUGGGACGCUGCUUGGUCACAGAACCUUGACCUGUCGGGUCGUGCGGCUCUUGGAGUUCAUGUUGCAGCUUAUGAGGAAGAUAAAGCCGAAGGUACCCGUCCUAAGAAGCUACAGAAACUAGCAGAGAAAACUGCAGAAGCCAUUGUUUGAGGAUUAAACAAGGUUUAUAACGAAUGUUUGCAUCACACAUUUCUCUUAUUUUCUCAAAAGACAAUACUUUAUCAUCUUACCUAGGGUCAAUAAGUACCAAUAAGUUGUCUUUUUAACUGAAUUGUGUUAGGAGUUUUUGAGGAUGUACCUAAGUUUUUGCUGAUUUUCUAUUUGUUUUCCUGAAUAAGAAUCUUUCUUCUGUUACAAAGUUUCAAAUUUUUUUUCUGUAUGAUGUAUCGUUCAACUGUGUUCAGUCUAGAUUUGUUUCAUUUCAGUUUUGACUUUUGAGAAAUUCAGUUUUGGGAAUUCAUACACCUUUGAAUUGUUCAAACUAUAUUUUGUUUCAUUUUUUCUCUAUGUUCUUUAAUUGGGUUUAAAAGGUCUAUAAGCUAAAUAUAUCAUACAACAAACAAUUAGACUUUGUGGCUCAAUGGAUAAGGCGCUGGUCUACGAUAUAUCAUACAACAAGAGAUUAUGGGAUCGAUCCCCAGCAGAUUCUCUUUUGUUUUUGUUUUUUAACGCUAUCAGCCUCAACAUUACUUGAAAUACAUGGCUCUUUAUUGAAAUCGUUCCUUUUGAUUUAUACCAGUACGAAGAGAAAAAGUUUUGAGAAAAAUCGUGGGAGGAGGAGAAAAACAUGGAAGAAAAUAUUCUAUGAAAGAUUUAGGGUAUAUUCAGUUUAAAUUUUGGAAACAUCUUUAACCAAAUAUGGAAGUUUCCAUAUUUUUCGGAUUUGCCUAAAAUAUAUAUCUUACCUUACGUAGAACAUAGUAGAGUAGAUGAGAAACAUAUUCUUCCUUAAGCGUCACAUAAGGUAAAAGGCAGAACAAAUUAUGACAAAUAAUAUAGAUAAGGUAUAUCAUUCCGUUGUAGCUAUAUGUCGUUAUCAAGCUGUAGGUAGAUUGAAGACAAUUUUCUUGAUUAUAAAGUAACAUAUUAUAGCCGUGUUAAAAUAUAUAAGAAAUGCUAGUU